UACGGAGGGGGCUAGCGUUGUUCGGAAUUACUGGGCGUAAAGAGCGCGUAGGCGGUUUAUAUAGUUGGGAGUGAAAUCCCAGGGCUUAACCCUGGAAUUGCUUUCAAAACUCAUAAACUAGAGAGCGAUAGAGGAUGGUGGAAUUCCUAGUGUAGAGGUGAAAUUCUUAGAUAUUAGGAGGAACACCGGUGGCGAAGGCGGCCAUCUGGGUCGUUUCUGACGCUGAGGCGCGAAAGCGUGGGGAGCAAACAGG
This 253-nucleotide ribosomal RNA is filed under the name uncultured bacterium. RNAcentral's name for it is "partial 16S ribosomal RNA". It matches the Rfam family "Bacterial small subunit ribosomal RNA", at positions 524 to 776 of the family's 1533-position model. The record is from RNAcentral.